RNAcentral lists this long non-coding RNA (433 nucleotides) under Mytilus galloprovincialis (Mediterranean mussel). Lineage: Eukaryota; Metazoa; Mollusca; Bivalvia; Mytilida; Mytilidae. The record is from RNAcentral.
UUUCAAGUACUAGUACAAAUAAAGUACUGUAAAAUACAGGUACCUAAAUAUUACAAUAAUUUUAGAGUAACAAAAUAGUACUGAAUAUUAAAAGCAGAUGUCCAGUACUACAAAUUUUUAGUACAGAAAUAGUACCUAUGCAAAAGUAGCUGUGUAUAAAGGGACCACGAGUGCAAAACAAUCCAAACAACAACCAAAAAAAAAAAAAAAAAACAACAACGGCUUUAUUUUAUAUACUCAAGGAGAAGAAAUUUAUCCAAUAAAUAAAAAAAAAUACAAUAGGUUUAGACCCAACGCUGCAAUUUUCACAAAACAUAUCAAAGUUCCCACUUUGUCGCACAUAAACAUGGAUAACACCAUUAAUAAUAAUAAACUUUAUUGCCAAAUAAAAAAAAAUAAACAUGUCUGUGACAAACUGCAGAAAAAAACGAAC